GGUAGAGCUGAGAAGGAGGGAGGGGUGGAGGGAAGGUGGUUUCAAGGGGCUUGUUUUACUUCUCCUUAUCCUGCUCUGAUUUUUUUUAUUAGUAAUAAAUUCACUUAAUAUCCCGGAGUUGAUCCUCUUUUGCCAAUGAUUGUAUUUGAUGAGGGGUCUCUCCUGAUUCUUAUCUCUGCCCUGAACUCUUCGUUGUAUUUUCUCUCCUCUGUCCAGCUGCAGAGGGAGGUUAAUGAGCGGCUUUCACUGGUGCCUGGCAUCAUUACACCUCCCAAGAUAAUUGUAUUUGAUAAUUAUAUAGAGUUAUAUAAGCAUAUAACUUGCUUAGUAUGCUUCCAAAUCCUGCAUGUAAGUAAUCUGUGAAGACAUUGAAGAGCACCAGGCCUGGAAUGGAGCCCUGUGGAACCCCACUAAUGACAGAUCACCAGCGUGAUGUCUCCCCAUUCACUGUCACUGAUUGUGCCCAACCCAUUAGCCAGGUGCUGUAUUUGUGAUGAUGUGUUUAUUCAGCUUUGUCCAGGACACCAAGGAAGACAGCAUUGAUGACUACCGAAAUCCAGAAAGAUGAUUACAUCAACUGACUUCUCUUGAUUGGUGAGGUGGAGAAUCUUGUCAUGAAUGGGUGUCAGAAGGACUUUGCCCUCAUGAACUCAUGCUGGCUGUGAAUGAUGACUGUGUUGUCCUUCAGGGCCGAUGUAAUGCCAAAAUGGGCCCCUCCAGCUGUUCUGUGAAGCUGCUGUAAAGGACUUGGUCAAAGCAGGCAAACUCUGUGAAUUGCUCCUGCUAACCUGAGAGGAAUUGCCUUGAUUCCUGCCGGAAGGAGAAAAUGAAUGAACUUUCAUUGCACUGUUUUCCUCACACAUUUGCAUGAUUUAGGUCAUAUUCCAGGAUUCAAAUGUUUUUCUACGUAAAGUGUAACUAGUUUUUUCUGUAGCUUUAUUUCAAGAUACCCACACCAAUUAUGUCUUAGGCCUUUAAAUGAAUAAAACCAAAUCAAUUUUCACAGAAACACCAGAAGUUACUCUCACUCUAUAGCUAAGAUACCAAGACCAUGAGAAAUUAAAUUGUUACUGAUUUUAGUAAGUUUUCAUCAGUUAAAACAGAUAGAGAUAAUUUUCCAGGGUGUUGAAGCAUUUCAUAUGCUCUAUGUAUGUGCUAUAUUUUAAAUAUAAUUUAAAUAUUUUUGUGUUGUAUGAACUUUUAUAGAGCCAGAAUCCUAAUUUGACUGAUCAGCAAAUGAGAACUACAUUGUGAAUGGCAAGCUGGACAAAUUUUGAGUUAAAACAUUUCUUUGACAUCACUUGGAAGCUCAGUGGCAAAGCUUGGAGUGGAAUCAGUUUCUCUAGAGCUUUGGUCAAUUUUGUUUCCUUUUCUUUUUCCUUUUAAGCUUGAAAUAAAGCACAUAGGCCUGUAAUCUUUGUGCAACCCUGGUUCAUUC
This is a long non-coding RNA of Parus major (Great Tit), 1438 nucleotides long. RefSeq lists it as uncharacterized. The record is from RefSeq and is a predicted model, not a curated record. NCBI's taxonomy places the organism in Eukaryota, Metazoa, Chordata, Aves, Passeriformes, Paridae. The transcript is spliced from 3 exons.